GGCGGAUUUGGAGGGACCCUACGAACCAGGAGUCAGGCGAGCCGAUCUGGGGCUGCAGCGCGCCUGGUGAUUCGGCUGCACCCCCGCACAGGAUGUUCCGCUGGGAGCGCUCCAUUCCCCUGCGAGGCUCGGCCGCCGCCCUGUGCAACAACCUCAGUGUGCUGCAGCUGCCGGCUCGCAACCUCACGUAUUUUGGCGUGGUUCAUGGACCAAGCGCCCAGCUUCUCAGCGCUGCUCCUGAGGGUGUGCCCUUGGCCCAGCGCCAGCUCCACGCUAAGGAGGGUGCUGGAGUGAGUCCCCCACUUAUCACUCAGGUCCACUGGUGUGUCCUCCCCUUCCGAGUGCUGCUGGUACUCACCUCACAUCGAGGAAUACAGAUGUACGAGUCCAAUGGCUACACCAUGGUCUACUGGCAUGCACUGGACUCUGGAGAUGCCUCCCCAGUACAGGCUGUGUUUGCCCGGGGAAUUGCUGCCAGUGGCCACUUCAUCUGUGUGGGAACGUGGUCAGGCCGGGUGCUGGUGUUUGACAUCCCAGCAAAGGGUCCCAACAUUGUACUGAGCGAGGAGCUGGCUGGGCACCAGAUGCCAAUCACAGACAUUGCCACCGAGCCUGCCCAGGGACAGGAUUGUGUGGCUGACAUGGUGACGGCAGAUGACUCAGGCUUGCUGUGUAUCUGGCGGUCAGGGCCAGAAUUCACAUUAUUGACCCGCAUUCCAGGAUUUGGAGUUCCGUGCCCCUCUGUGCAGCUGUGGCAGGGGAUCAUAGCAGCAGGCUAUGGGAACGGACAAGUGCAUCUGUAUGAGGCCACUACAGGAAAUCUACAUGUCCAGAUCAAUGCCCAUGCCCGGGCCAUCUGCGCCCUGGACCUGGCUUCUGAGGUGGGCAAGCUACUCUCUGCAGGUGAGGACACCUUUGUGCAUAUCUGGAAGCUGAGCAGAAACCCAGAGAGUGGCUACAUUGAGGUAUGUGUCAUGGGGUGGGUGGAAUGGGGGGGCCCAAGCAUGGGGCAGCAGGCCCUGACGAGCCCUCUGCUCCCCCAGGUGGAACACUGUCAUGGUGAGUGUGUCUCCGACACCCAGCUGUGUGGUGCUCGAUUUUGUGAUUCCUCAGGCAACUCCUUU
This 1124-nucleotide small RNA is filed under the name Pan troglodytes (chimpanzee). RNAcentral's name for it is "retained intron". The record is from RNAcentral. Lineage: Eukaryota; Metazoa; Chordata; Mammalia; Primates; Hominidae.